Molecule: ribosomal RNA, 429 nt
Filed under: Chloroflexota bacterium
Lineage: Bacteria; Bacillati; Chloroflexota
Description: Chloroflexi bacterium partial 16S ribosomal RNA
Rfam family: Bacterial small subunit ribosomal RNA
Source: RNAcentral
UGGGGAAUAUUGCACAAUGGGCGCAAGCCUGAUGCAGCCAUGCCGCGUGUAUGAAGAAGGCCUUCGGGUGGUAAAGUACUUUCAGCGGGGAGGAAGGGAGUAAAGUUAAUACCUUUGCUCAUUGACGUUACCCGCAGAAGAAGCACCGGCUAACUCCGUGCCAGCAGCCGCGGUAAUACGGAGGGUGCAAGCGUUAAUCGGAAUUACUGGGCGUAAAGCGCACGCAGGCGGUUUGUUAAGUCAGAUGUGAAAUCCUCGGGCUCAACCUGGGAACUGCAUCUGAUACUGGCAAGCUUGAGUCUCGUAGAGGGGGGUAGAAUUCCAGGUGUAGCGGUGAAAUGCGUAGAGAUCUGGAGGAAUACCGGUGGCGAAGGCGGCCCCCUGGACGAAGACUGACGCUCAGGUGCGAAAGCGUGGGGAGCAAACAGG